GACAAACGCUGGCGGCGUGCCUAAUACAUGCAAGUAGAACGCUGAAGAGAGGAGCUUGCUCUUCUUGGAUGAGUUGCGAACGGGUGAGUAACGCGUAGGUAACCUGCCUUGUAGCGGGGGAUAACUAUUGGAAACGAUAGCUAAUACCGCAUAACAAUAGGUGACACAUGUCAUUUAUUUGAAAGGGGCAAUUGCUCCACUACAAGAUGGACCUGCGUUGUAUUAGCUAGUAGGUGAGGUAACGGCUCACCUAGGCGACGAUACAUAGCCGACCUGAGAGGGUGAUCGGCCACACUGGGACUGAGACACGGCCCAGACUCCUACGGGAGGCAGCAGUAGGGAAUCUUCGGCAAUGGGGGCAACCCUGACCGAGCAACGCCGCGUGAGUGAAGAAGGUUUUCGGAUCGUAAAGCUCUGUUGUAAGUCAAGAACGAGUGUGAGAGUGGAAAGUUCACACUGUGACGGUAGCUUACCAGAAAGGGACGGCUAACUACGUG
RNAcentral lists this ribosomal RNA (497 nucleotides) under uncultured bacterium. RNAcentral describes it as "partial 16S ribosomal RNA". It matches the Rfam family "Bacterial small subunit ribosomal RNA", at positions 28 to 507 of the family's 1533-position model. The record is from RNAcentral.